ACUCAGUGCUGGAAGCUAUUGGGACUUCAAAGGGAGGAACUGUAUGCAAGACAGCUGCAGCACCAAGCCUUUAAUAAUGAAAGGAUAUGCUAAGAAAAAUAACAUGGUGGAUACUGGCCAUAACUUUGCUCCAGAACAGAGCUUCUCAAGCUUCGAGGCUGAAGAACUGGGCCAAUUUGAGGUGACAAGGGAGGAUGUUCUUAACUGUACUUCACAUAUAGACUGAUGGGGUCUGAGCUGUUGCUGACUGAUGAGAAGAUCUUGGGGUCGUAGUGGACAGCUUGUUGGAAGUGUCCGCUCAGUGUGCGGCAGCUGUGAAAAAGGCAAAUCCUAUGCUAGGGAUCAUGAGGAAGGGGAUUGAAAAUAAAAAUGCUAAUUUUGGAGUA
Molecule: long non-coding RNA, 386 nt
Organism: Hemicordylus capensis (graceful crag lizard)
Lineage: Eukaryota; Metazoa; Chordata; Lepidosauria; Squamata; Cordylidae
Exons: 2
Source: RefSeq, a predicted model, not a curated record